RNAcentral lists this transfer RNA (72 nucleotides) under Pangasius djambal. RNAcentral's name for it is "tRNA-Glu". Lineage: Eukaryota; Metazoa; Chordata; Actinopteri; Siluriformes; Pangasiidae. The record is from RNAcentral.
UCCCUGAAGGACUAGGGGUUAGGCCACAGUGCCCUCACUGCUGCGGCCCAGGUUCAAUUCCCGGCCAGGGAA